Molecule: non-coding RNA, 221 nt
Organism: Arachis ipaensis
Lineage: Eukaryota; Viridiplantae; Streptophyta; Magnoliopsida; Fabales; Fabaceae
Source: RefSeq, a predicted model, not a curated record
UGCUCCCUUAGUGAAUUUCAGCGAUUCGUGAAAAGCUCCGCCCAAAUCGAUGGAAACUCGGGGGUUGUUGUUGAAUGGCGAAGCUUGAAGCGAAACUCAGAAUGAUAGUUGACUCCGUUGGUAACUUCUUCUCUGGCAAAGACCAGCUUCCCUGGUGUGACCCUGACAUCGUCGCUGUCAAAAUCGAAGUGGCGACUAUUCAAGGAGUAGGGAUCUGGUCA